Molecule: ribosomal RNA, 493 nt
Filed under: uncultured Bacillota bacterium
Lineage: Bacteria; Bacillati; Bacillota
Description: bacterial SSU rRNA
Rfam family: Bacterial small subunit ribosomal RNA
Source: RNAcentral
UGGGGAAUAUUGCACAAUGGGCGAAAGCCUGAUGCAGCAACGCCGCGUGAGUGAUGAAGGCCUUCGGGUUGUAAAGCUCUGUCUUUUGGGACGAUAAUGACGGUACCAAAGGAGGAAGCCACGGCUAACUACGUGCCAGCAGCCGCGGUAAGUACGUAGGUGGCGAGCGUUGUCCGGAUUUACUGGGCGUAAAGGAUGCGUAGGCGGAUAUUUAAGUGAGAUGUGAAAUACCCGAGCUUAACUUGGGUGCUGCAUUUCAAACUGGAUAUCUAGAGUGCGGGGAGAGGAGAAUGGAAUUCCUAGUGUAGCGGUGAAAUGCGUAGAGAUUAGGAAGAACACCAGUGGCGAAGGCGAUCUCUGGACCGUAACUGACGCUGAGGCAUGAAAGCGUGGGUAGCAAACAGGGUUAGAUACCCUGGUAGUCCACGCCGUAAACGAUGAGUACUAGGUGUAGGGGGUCCGAACCCUCUGUGCCGCAGUUAACACAAUAAGU